GUACGGAAGGCAGCAGUGGGGAAUCUUGCGCAAUGGCCUAACGGCUGACGCAGCGACGCCGCGUGAGGGAUGACGCUCUUCGGAGUGUAAACCUCUUUUGCCCGGGACGAAUUGCCAACUUCAGUUGGCUUGACGGUACCGGGUGAAUAAGCACCGGCUAACUCCGUGCCAGCAGCCGCGGUAAUACGGGGGGUGCGAGCGUUGUCCGGAAUCACUGGGCGUAAAGGGCGCGUAGGUGGUCUUAUAAGGGUGUGGUGAAAGCCCGGGGCUCAACCCCGGGUCGGCCGUGCCGACUGUAAGACUAGAGUGCUGUAGGGGCAGGCGGAAUUCCGGGUGUAGCGGUGGAAUGCGUAGAGAUCCGGAGGAAGACCGGUGGCGAAGGCGGCCUGCUGGGCAGUUACUGACACUGAGGCGCGACAGCGUGGGGAGCAAACAGGAUUAGAUACCCCGGUAGC
This 455-nucleotide ribosomal RNA is filed under the name uncultured bacterium. RNAcentral's name for it is "bacterial SSU rRNA". It matches the Rfam family "Bacterial small subunit ribosomal RNA", at positions 339 to 794 of the family's 1533-position model. The record is from RNAcentral.